This 254-nucleotide ribosomal RNA is filed under the name uncultured bacterium. RNAcentral describes it as "partial 16S ribosomal RNA". It matches the Rfam family "Bacterial small subunit ribosomal RNA", at positions 524 to 776 of the family's 1533-position model. The record is from RNAcentral.
UACGAACUGUGCGAACGUUAUUCGGAAUCACUGGGCUUACAGGGUGCGUAGGCGGCUUGUUAAGUAGGGGUGUGAAAGCCCCCGGCUCAACCGGGGAAUUGCGCCCUAAACUGGCGAGCUGGAGUGAGAUAGGGGUGUGUGGAACUUCCGGUGGAGCGGUGAAAUGUGUUGAUAUCGGAAGGAACGCCGGUAGCGAAAGCGACACACUGGGUCUUGACUGACGCUGAGGCACGAAAGCCAGGGGAGCGAACGGG